AUGUUGUGGUUCUUGUGUUUGUAGCCUAUAUGUACUCCCUGAGUCGAUUAUAGAAAUGUUUAUUCCAUUUUGAGUUUUUUGUUCCUUCCUUUUGCUUUGCCGUCUAAGACUGAGAUGACGCCAGCUGCGCUGCAGAUUUGUGAUUGUAAUGGACUGGCCAUGGCAAGGUGUCGUUGUCUCUCUCAAAUUCUGUAAAAUGGAGUACUACUAUAAACCACAGUCUAGUCUGGUUUCGGAGGCUUUUCCAACGAGCGAGAAGCUACAGAAUCACAAUCUAGUCUGGUUCGGCGCUUUUCCAACAAGAAGAGCUUUGUUUCGGUGCUUCUCCAACGAGAUGCCACGAGCAGCAGAAGAGCUUCCGGGAAAGUGCAGGCGUAGAAACACACAGAACAGAACCUUCUUUACCUCGAUCGACAAAAACGCCUCCGUCCAUGACAUGUGGGCCCAGUCUGGACACAACUACCCGUUUGAAAGACCCAAAAGAAAUCCAGUCUAGACACACUUUAAAAGUUUAUAGAUCAAGUUAACACCCACGCAAAUUAAGAGAUCGGAAAUACACUUUAUUCUUUGCGAUGUGUGUUUGAAUGUACUAAAACUAAUAAUUAGCUGCUAAUAUUAGUUAUAUGCAUCCAAACAGCUCAACUAAAAGUGCAGCUAAUAAUUAGUUAUAUCCCAAAUAUCCGUUAGUUUCCUAGCUAUCCCACACCGGCUAAAACCAGCUAAUCAAUCCCCUGUUUCUCCACACUGACCGGACCGCGAGAGGCACCACGGCCCACCUCCACGCCGAUGCCGAGCCCCGUAGGGUGGAGCGGCGUCUUCCCACCUGCAACCACCGCUGGUUCCCACUGAUCCCCUCCGCCAUCGCUGGACCUCGCCGUGACUGUCGCCGCUGUCCCCUACGCUGCUGUCGUCCUCUACGCUGCCAUCGUCCCUACAUCGCCAAUCCACAAGGUGCGAAUCAUCCGGUCUCGUUGCCUGUUUCAUUUCAGCUGAUUAAUCUCGCCCACGACGAGAUCCUGUGCGUGCGUCCCAGAUUCCGCUAGAUUUUAGAGACGUACUGGCCCUUCCUCAAGUAUUCUCCCAGUGCACUUCUCUGGUUACGGUGAUUCCGCUAGAUUGGAUUCCGCUAGAUUUCUAUAGGAGCUAGCUUCUAGCCAUGCAUGAAUCGUUGGGGAGCUAGGAGCAUAUUUAUGCUGGUAGUAGUAGAAUCUACUUUGCAUUUGAACAACGCCAACAAGUACGAGUGCAUUUGGAAGUAGAACAAUUCAGCUUGCAUUCAGAAUCGUUGGGAGCUGGAAGCAUCUAUACUGCUUGGCAUUGAGAUGUUGUUUGGCCAUGGCUUCAAGUUAUAAAUUCAGCUUCAUCUAGAGAUGAUAGUUCGUGUUAGCACAUUGGGAACCCAACUAAGCUUCCAUGGGGUUUUUCUGCCUCGACAUAAAUAUGUAUUAAAAGGGGAGUCGUCUAUAUGUAUAAAGUUACUGACAGUGAGAUAACUGAUUUUAAAAGGGGAGCCAUCUAUGGAUACUGCAUGUGUGAUGUCAAACAUACGCAGAUGCAGUACUGCACUGAAAUUACUUCUGUGAAUUCCUAGUUAUAAUAUGCAUAGUACUGAAGUAAUAAUGUCAAACUCAAUUCCAUGACAUAUUUUAGUUUUUUUGUGGUCGAUGAGUUAUAGCAGCUAUGGCUACCUUUUUUGUAAUGUUGAACUCAUCUAUAUGAUGAGAUAUGUUCAGAGUAUUGAUUGUUUGUAUAUACUCGUUCGUUAUUGAUUGUUUGGUCUCUCUAAUUGCAGCCAUGUUCUUCGGUUCUGACGAGGCUGAGUACCACACGACCCUUAUCAGGUCGCCCUCCAAUCCCGUGAACAGGGGUCUCUUCUCAGAUGAAGUGGCGCCAAGUCUUCAUAGGGAGCAGUUUAUCCCUUCUCCGCGAUCUGGUAGAGUGGAUGGGCUGGACCUCAACUCCAGCGACGUGGAGUUCCAGAACAUCGCAUCAUUUCAAGACCUUCGUCAGUCUCAGUCUGCUGCCAACUACUCUGCUACUCCAGUUCUUGAUGGUCAUAGGGGUCGCAAUCAUUCUCGAUCAGUUCUUGGCCGCGGUGUUACAGGCAGAGGCUUCCGAGCAACACGGACGACCAGUGAGGGUCCUAGAGGUGGUCGUGGAGCACGAAGCAUCUUAUCUCGUGGACGUAGUAUGCCUCGACCUAUUGGUGCUUCCUCGUCAGGUGGUCGUUGUGCCACAAGUGGUCGUGGUGCCAAUAUUUCAGCGCCAAAUGCCGCUCACAGUCAAGAGGACAAUGACGAUCCCUUUGCACAAGUAACUCAUUUUCCUAACUUGGUCACUCCAAUGUUGUAGUUGUGUGGCUUCUUUCUUUAUUAUCCUAAAUUCUAUUUAAACUAAUAGUUAGAGGUGAAAUGUUUUGAACUGUUUUUAACUAAUAGUUUAUCAGUGUAUUGAUACAUCAUGCUGCUUCUGCUGCACUACUGUAUAGAAAUAUUUUUAUUGGACAUUCAUGUUUGCUCUGCCUUUUCAUAUGGUAGACGGGUGAGACAUUUGACAAGGCAAAUUGGACGGAUCCAUACAACAAUACUACAUUUUGUGACCUUUGUGUUGAGCAAAUAAAGGCUGGUAAUAGGGUUAAUGGCUUCAUGACUACCAGAGGCUACCAUGUCAUAACUGAGAAGUAUUAUCUAAGAACUGGUUUAAGACAUUCUAAAACUCAGUUGAAAAAUAGAUGGGAUCAGUUGAAGGGUCUCUAUAGCUUUUGGUUGUGGCUCAACAAACAGACGGGUCUUGGCCGGGCAAAUGGUACUGUUGUUGCUGAUGAAUCUUUUUGGAGGGAAAACACAAAGGUAUUCAUGAAGCUUGCCUUCUGUUUGUGUUUUUUGUGAGAUACAAAGGUACUAAUCAUUCUGAAUUUUGCCAGAAUCACUCUGAAUGGAAGAAGUUACAAUAUGGACCACCUGAAAAUCUUGAUCAGCUUCAACAAAUGUAUGAGCAUAGUGCUGUUGAUGGUUCAUCGUCUUGUAUUCCUGGAGAGCAUAUGAAUGAAGGUGACGGAGGUGAUGACUUGGAUGAGGAUAUUGCAAGUCCAGCUAGUGGAGCAAGAAAGAAGAGGGCGUGCAACACUAGUACUGCAACAAGUCCAUUGAAGAGAGGACAAAGCCCUAUGUUGAAGAUUAUGAGGGGCAUGUGGGGAACUUUGCAGUCUAAUAGUGUUGCUGCAAAAAGGGUCCUAGAGGGAGAAUUAAGGACAGAGUCAAUCAAGAAGGCGAUGAAUCUGGUUAAGGAAUGUGGUGCACCUGAAGGAAGUGUUGAGCAUUACAUGGCUACAAAAUUGUUCGUGAAAGCUGAAAACCGAGAUAUGUUCUUUACUUUUGAAUCAAAUGAAGGAAGAUUGUCUUGGUUAAAGAGAAAUUGUCAGGACUAUGGGUUGUCUUGAGUUGGUAGUUGUCAUGAGUGUGUCUGCCUAUCUACUGUCAUGGACCUUUUAUGUAUUGAUGUCGUGAACAUUCUAUGUGUGUCUGCUGUCACAAACCUUUUAUGUACUGCUGUCAUAAACCUACUAUCAUGAACCUUUUAUGAAUCUUCUAUGUGUUUCAAAUCAUAUGUAUGUGCCUUGAAUGAUUAAGUUUGUUGAUCUCUUAUUAUUGUCUAUGUAGAUUGAUUUUUUCCCAAAUGAUGAGGAUGAGACAGAUGACAUAGUUGAGGUGGCUCUUGGUGAACUUGAGAUGAUGGAACAAUAUGGUGCCUUCAUGUCUACAUUUGGUAUGUACUAUGAUGCUACCUUCUUUAAUAAAAGAAGUCGUAGGGAACCUCAAGUCACUGGAUAUGAUUGGGUAGUGAGGACACUUAAUGAUCCUAGAGAGUGCUUUAAUAUGUUUAGAAUGAGUAAGCAUAUAUUUGAAAGUCUUCAUGAUGUCCUUGCAUCAACAUAUGGAUUGCGGUCAACAUGUCAGAUGAGUUCCAUAGAAGCUUUAGCCAUGUUUUUGUGGAUCAUUGGUGCUCCACAAUCAAUUAGACAAGUUGCCAAUCGUUUUGAGAGGUCAAAAGAGACGAUUAGUAGAAAAUUUGAAGAAGUGUUACAUUGUGUUUAUAAGAUGUCUGCUCAUAUCAUUAAACCAAAAGAUCCAGAAUUUUCUACUGUGCACCCAAGAGUACAAGCUCCCCAAUUUUCACCGCAUUUUGAUAAAUGUAUUGGAGCUAUAGAUGGGACACAUGUGCGUGUUGUUGUCCCAUCAUCAAAGGUGCUGCAACAUACAGGGCGUCAUGGGUAUACAACUCAGAAUGUAUUGGCCAUAUGUGACUUCGAUAUGAGGUUUACCUUUGUGGUCGCCGGAUGGCCAGGGUCAGUUCAUGAUAUGAGAGUGUUUAAUGAUGCUCUGCGCAAAUAUGGUGACAAAUUUCCUCAUCCUCCUCCUGGUAAAUAUAUAUACUACAAAGUUAUUUUAUGGUCAUGGCUUUAUCAUUUUCUAAUGGUCUAACUUUUUGUAGGAAAAUUUUAUCUUGUUGACUCGAGGUACCCUAACCGUGAUGGUUACCUAGCUCCUUACAAAGGAACUAAGUAUCAUGUACCAGAGUUUCGACAAGGCCCUAGACCAAGUGGGAAGGAGUUAUUCAAUUUUUGUCACUCAUCUCUUCGCAACGUCAUCGAGCGUUCGUUUGGCGUGUUGAAGAUGAAAUGGAGGAUCUUGUUACACUUACCAUCAUAUCCAAUGGUAAAGCAAACAAAGAUUAUACUUGCGUGCAUGACCCUUCAUAAUUUCAUUAGAGAAAGUGCUAUGGCGGACGCGGAUUUUGAAAUGUGUGACAAUGAUGAGAACUAUAUAUCGAUUCAGAGCAACAAUUUGUUUGAAGAAGAUGGUGAUGAAGAACAAGGCAUGAACGCUUUCCGUGACAACAUUGCAAAUGCGUUGUUCAUCAUGAGAGGGUGACAAGUUGGAGAUACUAUUUGUGUUGACAAAGUAGUUCAGUUUGUAUUGCUAUGAGACAAGUUUCUCUACAUUUUUAUAAACAGAUGUACAUUUUCAGAAUGACUGUUUUUUGUUUGAAAAAAGAUGAGGUUGAGAUGGGCAGUUGAAAUGAACGGUUGUAAAGCUGAAAUUGAAUAUUGAUUAGAUAAAAAAUGGUUGAAAUCUAUUGAACGGAUGUACAGGCGUACAACUGACAAAGGACUGCUUCGGCUAACCUGAAACCUUUUAGCUAUAAUCCAAACAGCACCAAACUAAUAGUUAGCAGCUAAUAAUUAGCCAACUAUUUUUGCUAGCAACUUAUUAGCUAACUAACUAUUAGUUAUAGUGCAUUCAAACACCCCUGCGGUGGGCGAAGAAUAUCCACGGGGGAGCAUACUCAUAGUUGGCUUGUCAUUAUUCGUGGCCACAUUUCAUUACGGAAUUUGAGUUCCAAUAAACGGAAUAUACCUUCGUCGAUCACCUUGAAGGAUUGUAUCAUUAGAAUUUUCAUACAGGGCUGGCCUUUUGAGUCUCUGCCUACGCACGCAGAUGUUGUGGUUCUUGUGUUUGUAGCCUAUAUGUACUCCCUGAGUCGAUUAUAGAAAUGUUUAUUCCAUUUUGAGUUUUUUGUUCCUUCCUUUUGCUUUGCCGUCUAAGACUGAGAUGACGCCAGCUGCGCUGCAGAUUUGUGAUUGUAAUGGACUGGCCAUGGCAAGGUGUCGUUGUCUCUCUCAAAUUCUGUAAAAUGGAGUACUACUAUAAACCACAGUCUAGUCUGGUUUCGGAGGCUUUUCCAACGAGCGAGAAGCUACAGAAUCACAAUCUAGUCUGGUUCGGCGCUUUUCCAACAAGAAGAGCUUUGUUUCGGUGCUUCUCCAACGAGAUGCCACGAGCAGCAGAAGAGCUUCCGGGAAAGUGCAGGCGUAGAAACACACAGAACAGAACCUUCUUUACCUCGAUCGAC
RNAcentral lists this long non-coding RNA (5913 nucleotides) under Zea mays. RNAcentral's name for it is "long non-coding RNA (ZMAY_LNC000746)". The record is from RNAcentral. Lineage: Eukaryota; Viridiplantae; Streptophyta; Magnoliopsida; Poales; Poaceae.